GAUGAACGCUGGCGGCGUGCCUAAUACAUGCAAGUCGAGCGAACGGACGAGAAGCUUGCUUCUCUGAUGUUAGCGGCGGACGGGUGAGUAACACGUGGAUAACCUACCUAUAAGACUGGGAUAACUUCGGGAAACCGGAGCUAAUACCGGAUAAUAUUUUGAACCGCAUGGUUCAAAAGUGAAAGACGGUCUUGCUGUCACUUAUAGAUGGAUCCGCGCUGCAUUAGCUAGUUGGUAAGGUAACGGCUUACCAAGGCAACGAUGCAUAGCCGACCUGAGAGGGGAAUGGGCCCAGUGGGACCUGGGACAGGGUCAGGCACCCUAGGGGGGGCAGCAGUAGGGAAUCUUCCGCAAUGGGCGAAAGCCUGAGGGAGAAACGCGGGGGGAGUGAUGAAGGUCUUCGGAUCGUAAAACGCUGUUAUUAGGGAAGAACAUAUGUGUAAGUAACUGUGCAAAUCUUGAAGGGACCAAAUCAAAAAGCCACGGCUAACUGCGU
This 496-nucleotide ribosomal RNA is filed under the name uncultured bacterium. Its description in RNAcentral is "partial 16S ribosomal RNA". It matches the Rfam family "Bacterial small subunit ribosomal RNA", at positions 28 to 506 of the family's 1533-position model. The record is from RNAcentral.